CUCGGGCCUUGUACACACCGCCCGUCACACCACGAAAGUGAAUUGGACCAGAAGUCACGGUUCUUUCUGUGCCCAAGGUCUGAUUCAUGAUUGGGGUG
RNAcentral lists this ribosomal RNA (98 nucleotides) under uncultured bacterium. RNAcentral's name for it is "partial 16S ribosomal RNA". It matches the Rfam family "Bacterial small subunit ribosomal RNA", at positions 1373 to 1482 of the family's 1533-position model. The record is from RNAcentral.